This 350-nucleotide ribosomal RNA is filed under the name uncultured bacterium. Its description in RNAcentral is "bacterial SSU rRNA". It matches the Rfam family "Bacterial small subunit ribosomal RNA", at positions 355 to 697 of the family's 1533-position model. The record is from RNAcentral.
UGGGGAAUAUUGCACAAUGGAGGAAACUCUGAUGCAGCCAUGCCGCGUGUGUGAAGAAGGCUCUAGGGUUGUAAAGCACUUUCAAUGGGGAGGAAAAGUUAGUAGUUAAUAGUUGCUAGCCGUGACGUUACCCAUAGAAGAAGCACCGGCUAACUCCGUGCCAGCAGCCGCGGUAAUACGGAGGGUGCAAGCGUUAAUCGGAAUUACUGGGCGUAAAGCGCGCGUAGGCGGUUUGUUAAGUCGGAUGUGAAAGCCCAGGGCUCAACCUUGGAAUUGCAUACGAUACUGGCUUACUAGAGUACGAUAGAGGGUGGUAGAAUUUCUUGUGUAGCAGUGAAAUGCGUAGAUAU